RNAcentral lists this ribosomal RNA (484 nucleotides) under uncultured bacterium. Its description in RNAcentral is "partial 16S ribosomal RNA". It matches the Rfam family "Bacterial small subunit ribosomal RNA", at positions 30 to 507 of the family's 1533-position model. The record is from RNAcentral.
AUUGAACGCUGGCGGCAGGCCUAACACAUGCAAGUCGAGCGGAUGAAGGGAGCUUGCUCCUGGAUUCAGCGGCGGACGGGUGAGUAAUGCCUAGGAAUCUGCCUGGUAGUGGGGGAUAACGUCCGGAAACGGGCGCUAAUACCGCAUACGUCCUGAGGGAGAAAGUGGGGGAUCUUCGGACCUCACGCUAUCAGAUGAGCCUAGGUCGGAUUAGCUAGUUGGUGGGGUAAAGGCCUACCAAGGCGACGAUCCGUAACUGGUCUGAGAGGAUGAUCAGUCAAAAUUGAACUGGAAAAAGGUCCCGAAUUCUAAGGGAGGCAGGCGUGGGGAAUAUUUGAACAUGGGCGAAAGGCUGAUCCAGGCAUGCCGCGUGGGUGAAGAAGGUCUUCGGAUUGGAAAGCCCCUUUAGUUGGGAGGAAGGGCAGUAAGUUAAUACCUUGCUGUUUUGACGUUACCAACAGAAUAAGCACCGGCUAACUUCGUG